GCUUACGACCACACCGGCCUGAGUACGCCUGAUCUCAGUCUGAUCUCGGAAGCUAAGCAGGGUCGGGCCUGGUUAGUACUUGGAUGGGAGACCGCCUGGGAAUACCAGGUGCUGUAAGCU
RNAcentral lists this ribosomal RNA (120 nucleotides) under Oncorhynchus kisutch (coho salmon). The record is from RNAcentral. Lineage: Eukaryota; Metazoa; Chordata; Actinopteri; Salmoniformes; Salmonidae.